This 603-nucleotide ribosomal RNA is filed under the name uncultured bacterium. RNAcentral's name for it is "partial 16S ribosomal RNA". The record is from RNAcentral.
ACGGCUACCUUGUUACGACUUAGCCCCAGUCACCGGUUUUACCUUAGGGCGCUCCUUGCGGUUGCACACUUCAGGCACUCCCGGCUUCCAUGGCUUGACGGGCGGUGUGUACAAGGCCCGGGAACGUAUUCACCGCGCCGUGGCUGAUGCGCGAUUACUAGCGAAUCCAGCUUCAUGGAGUCGGGUUGCAGACUCCAAUCCGAACUGAGACAGGCUUUGAAGUUCCGCUCUGCGUCGCCGCAUCGCUUCUCUCUGUACCUGCCAUUGUAACACGUGUGUCGCCCCGGACGUAAGGGCCGUGCUGAUUUGACGUCAUCCCCGCCUUCCUCACAACUUGCGCCGGCAGUCUCGCCAGAGUCCCCAACUUUACUUGCUGGUAACUGGCGAUGGGGGUUGCGCUCGUUAUGGCACUUAAGCCGACACCUCACGGCACGAGCUGACGACAACCAUGCAGCACCUCGACGGAUGUCCCGUAGGACUGCCUCCUUUCAGAAACAUCCAUCCGUCGUUUGAGCCCGGGUAAGGUUCCUCGCGUAUCAUCGAAUUAAACCACAUGUUCCUCCGCUUGUGCGGGCCCCCGUCAAUUCCUUUGAGUUUCACCGU